UUAGUUGGUGGAGUGAUUUGUCUGGUUAAUUCCGAUAACGAACGAGACCUUAACCUACUAACUAGAUCUUAGGAUUAUUAUCCUUUGAAGCUUCUUAGAGGGACUGUGUGGUCAACCUCAAGGAAGUUUAAGGCAAUAACAGGU
Molecule: ribosomal RNA, 144 nt
Filed under: Ciliophora sp.
Lineage: Eukaryota; Ciliophora
Description: partial small subunit ribosomal RNA
Rfam family: Eukaryotic small subunit ribosomal RNA
Source: RNAcentral